GCAGUGGUGGUGCAAAGGUAGCAUACUGGGCCCAUAACCCGGAGACAAGGUUCGAAUCCUUCGGCUGCA
This 69-nucleotide transfer RNA is filed under the name Clostridia bacterium. RNAcentral's name for it is "tRNA-Met". It matches the Rfam family "tRNA". From Rfam's summary of the family: Transfer RNA (tRNA) molecules are approximately 80 nucleotides in length. Lineage: Bacteria; Bacillati; Bacillota; Clostridia. The record is from RNAcentral.